CACCUCUAGCAUUUCAAGUAUUAGAGGCAUUGCCUGCCCAGUGACUAUAGUUAAACGGCCGCGGUAUCCUGACCGUGCAAAGGUAGCAUAAUCAUUUGUUCCUUAAUUAGGGACUAGUAUGAACGGCUAAACGAGGGCUCAACUGUCUCUUAUUUUCAAUCAGUGAAAUUGACCUUCCAGUGAAGAGGCUGGAAUAUAAAAAUAAGACGAGAAGACCCUAUGGAGCUUAAAUUAAUAAGCUUAAUUAUUACCCUAGUCCCCUAAUGGAAUAAAACAAAUAAUAUAAGCUUAAAAUUUUGGUUGGGGUGACCUCGGAGAACAAAAAAUCCUCCGAAAGAUAUAUAACAUAGACCUACAAGUCAAAGUAUACCAAUUAUCCAAUUGACCCAAAAAUUGAUCAACGGACCAAGUUACCCUAGGGAUAACAGCGCAAUCCUAUUUAAGAGUCCAUAUCGACAAUAGGGUUUACGACCUCGAUGUUGGAUCAGGACAUCCCAAUGGUGCAGAAGCUAUUAAUGGUUCGUUUGUUCAACGAUUAAA
This 540-nucleotide ribosomal RNA is filed under the name Hylomyscus alleni (Allen's wood mouse). Its description in RNAcentral is "partial 16S ribosomal RNA". It matches the Rfam family "Bacterial large subunit ribosomal RNA", at positions 1816 to 2592 of the family's 2925-position model. Lineage: Eukaryota; Metazoa; Chordata; Mammalia; Rodentia; Muridae. The record is from RNAcentral.